GAUGUGGGAAGGCCCAGACAGCCAGGAUGUUGGCUUAGAAGCAGCCAUCAUUUAAAGAAAGCGUAAUAGCUCACUGGUCGAGUCGGCCUGCGCGGAAGAUGUAACGGGGCUAAACCAUGCACCGAAGCUGCGGCAGCGACGUUUAUGCGUUGUUGGGUAGGGGAGCGUUCUGUAAGCCUGCGAAGGUGGCCUGUGAGGGUUGCUGGAGGUAUCAGAAGUGCGAAUGCUGACAUAAGUAACGAUAAAGCGGGUGAAAAGCCCGCUCGCCGGAAGACCAAGGGUUCCUGUCCAACGUUAAUCGGGGCAGGGUGAGUCGACCCCUAAGGCGAGGCCGAAAGGCGUAGUCGAUGGGAAACGGGUUAAUAUUCCCGUACUUGGUGUUACUGCGAAGGGGGGACGGAGAAGGCUAUGUUGGCCGGGCGACGGUUGUCCCGGUUUAAGCGUGUAGGCUGGUUUUCCAGGCAAAUCCGGAAAAUCAAGGCUGAGGCGUGACGACGAGGCACUACGGUGCUGAAGCAACAAAUGCCCUGCUUCCAGGAAAAGCCUCUAAGCAUCAGGUAACAUCAAAUCGUACCCCAAACCGACACAGGUGGUCAGGUAGAGAAUACCAAGGCGCUUGAGAGAACUCGGGUGAAGGAACUAGGCAAAAUGGUGCCGUAACUUCGGGAGAAGGCACGCUGACAUGUAGGUGAAGUGAUUUACUCAUGGAGCUGAAGUCAGUCGAAGAUACCAGCUGGCUGCAACUGUUUAUUAAAAACACAGCACUGUGCAAACACGAAAGUGGACGUAUACGGUGUGACGCCUGCCCGGUGCCGGAAGGUUAAUUGAUGGGGUCAGCGCAAGCGAAGCUCCUGAUCGAAGCCCCGGUAAACGGCGGCCGUAACUAUAACGGUCCUAAGGUAGCGAAAUUCCUUGUCGGGUAAGUUCCGACCUGCACGAAUGGCGUAAUGAUGGCCAGGCUGUCUCCACCCGAGACUCAGUGAAAUUGAACUCGCUGUGAAGAUGCAGUGUACCCGCGGCAAGACGGAAAGACCCCGUGAACCUUUACUAUAGCUUGACACUGAACAUUGAGCCUUGAUGUGUAGGAUAGGUGGGAGGCUUUGAAGUGUGGACGCCAGUCUGCAUGGAGCCGACCUUGAAAUACCACCCUUUAAUGUUUGAUGUUCUAACGUGGACCCGUUACCCGGGUUGCGGACAGUGUCUGGUGGGUAGUUUGACUGGGGCGGUCUCCUCCUAAAGAGUAACGGAGGAGCACGAAGGUUGGCUAAUCCUGGUCGGACAUCAGGAGGUUAGUGCAAUGGCAUAAGCCAGCUUGACUGCGAGCGUGACGGCGCGAGCAGGUGCGAAAGCAGGUCAUAGUGAUCCGGUGGUUCUGAAUGGAAGGGCCAUCGCUCAACGGAUAAAAGGUACUCCGGGGAUAACAGGCUGAUACCGCCCAAGAGUUCAUAUCGACGGCGGUGUUUGGCACCUCGAUGUCGGCUCAUCACAUCCUGGGGCUGAAGUAGGUCCCAAGGGUAUGGCUGUUCGCCAUUUAAAGUGGUACGCGAGCUGGGUUUAGAACGUCGUGAGACAGUUCGGUCCCUAUCUGCCGUGGGCGCUGGAGAACUGAGGGGGGCUGCUCCUAGUACGAGAGGACCGGAGUGGACGCAUCACUGGUGUUCGGGUUGUCAUGCCAAUGGCACUGCCCGGUAGCUAAAUGCGGAAGAGAUAAGUGCUGAAAGCAUCUAAGCACGAAACUUGCCCCGAGAUGAGUUCUCCCUGAGACUUUAGGUCUCCUGAAGGAACGUUGAAGACGACGACGUUGAUAGGCCGGGUGUGUAAGCGCAGCGAUGCGUUGAGCUAACCGGUACUAAUGAACCGUGAGGCUUAACCUU
RNAcentral lists this ribosomal RNA (1874 nucleotides) under Salmonella enterica subsp. enterica serovar Bovismorbificans str. Sal609. RNAcentral's name for it is "bacterial LSU rRNA". It matches the Rfam family "Bacterial large subunit ribosomal RNA", at positions 1072 to 2925 of the family's 2925-position model. The record is from RNAcentral. Lineage: Bacteria; Pseudomonadati; Pseudomonadota; Gammaproteobacteria; Enterobacterales; Enterobacteriaceae.